Molecule: ribosomal RNA, 811 nt
Filed under: uncultured bacterium
Lineage: Bacteria
Description: bacterial SSU rRNA
Rfam family: Bacterial small subunit ribosomal RNA
Source: RNAcentral
AGAGUUUGAUCAUGGCUCAGGGCGAACGCUGGCGGCGUACCUAACACAUGCAAGUCGAACGAGGAUCGUCGGGUUAGCAAUAAUUCGGCGGUCCUAGUGGCGCACGGGUGAGUAACACGUGGGUGACCUGCCCUUGAGUUCGGGAUACCCCCUCGAAAGGGGGGCUAAUACCGGAUACGUUCCCCGGUUGAAAGACUGGGGAGGAAAGGUGGCGCAAGCUGCCGCUCUUGGAGGGGCUCGCGGCCUAUCAGCUAGUUGGCGGGGUAACGGCCCACCAAGGCUAUGACGGGUAGCUGGUCUGAGAGGACGACCAGCCACACGGGGACUGAGACACGGCCCCGACUCCUACGGGAGGCAGCAGUGGGGAAUUUUCCGCAAUGGGCGAAAGCCUGACGGAGUGACGCCGCGUGUGGGACGAAGGCCUUCGGGUCGUAAACCACUGUCAGUGGGAAAGAUGGGUGUCGGCGCUAAUACCGCCGGCAUCUGACGGUACCUGCAGAGGAAGCCCCGGCCGACUCUGUGCCAGCAGCCGCGGUAAGACAGAGGGGGCAAGCGUUGCUCGGAAUUACUGGGCGUAAAGGGCGCGUAGGCGGGAUGGCAAGUCGGUCGUGAAAUCCCUCGGCUCAACUGAGGAACGUCGAUCGAUACUGCUGUUCUUGAGGAUUGCAGAGGAGACUGGAAUUCCCGGUGUAGCGGUGAAAUGUGUAGAGAUCGGGAGGAACACCGGUGGCGAAGGCGGGUCUCUGGGCAAUUCCUGACGCUGAGGCGCGAAAGCGUGGGGAGCAAACGGGAUUAGAUACCCCAGUAGUCC